GGCCUGCUAGCUCAGUCGGUUAGAGCGUCGUGCUAAUAACGCGAAGGUCGCAGGUUCGAUCCCUGCGCAGGCCA
Molecule: transfer RNA, 74 nt
Filed under: Rhipicephalus sanguineus (brown dog tick)
Lineage: Eukaryota; Metazoa; Arthropoda; Arachnida; Ixodida; Ixodidae
Description: transfer RNA isoleucine (anticodon AAU)
Rfam family: tRNA
About the family: Transfer RNA (tRNA) molecules are approximately 80 nucleotides in length.
Source: Rfam by way of RNAcentral